Molecule: long non-coding RNA, 920 nt
Filed under: Erythranthe guttata (spotted monkey flower)
Lineage: Eukaryota; Viridiplantae; Streptophyta; Magnoliopsida; Lamiales; Phrymaceae
Description: long non-coding RNA (EGUT_LNC000969)
Source: RNAcentral
CCUGAAUUUCAACGUAGGUAACAUUAAAUCAUAUAUAAAAAGAAUAUCAUUAAAUUGAUUCAUUUUCAACAUUUCAAAAGAUAUAUAUUUUUUUCCCUACUUAACAUUUGAUGGGGUCAGUUCGGCACAAUUGGGCCGAACUCCCACAUGCAAGAUUACUGGACGAUAAAAGCUAAAGCCCAAGUCUAAAAUGGGCCAUGAGCUUUUGGGCCAGUUCCCGGUGGGUGGCCAAUGCCAAGGGAGGUUGAAGUAUCGCCGAAAAGAGAGCGCGAAGGGUAAAAGUGUACUUUUUAAUGACUAUAAUUGACAAAUGGAGUUGGACGUGGACAUCAAGCCAGUGACAACGUCAAUAUACGGUUUCACCAGUGACCGUUUCGACCAAUAGGGCAGAUAAAGUGGACCGUGGCACUAGGAGUCCAUCCACUCGUCAAAAUACGAACAAAUAACUUCCGGAUACCUCAGAUUACAACGUAAUCUUCGGAAGGCCCAUGCUCGCCACCUUUCAAGUAGUACCUUCCACUUUUUCACAUGAAGUUGAAUUAAGUUCCCCGUCGGGUCAGCGAUCGGCGAGCUUAUAUAGGGAUUCGAUCAUGCUAUUUCGAAACUUGUAGAAAAACAAAAGAUGUGAGAGGCACCAAAGAAGAAAUAAUUAUGGACGACGAAAAUGUCGAUUAGAAUGAAGGCGAAGGCGUAGAUGCAUGCAUAGCUCCUGGUAUGCCAUCCACAAAGGCCACCACCGCCUUCGGAUGUACUCUGCAAAUGGCAUACAAGGAGCCAGGCAUAACCGCUAACCGCUAACCACCCCUGCAUUGCCCUGUUUUUAUAUCUAUACAUACAUAUAUAUAAACAUACCUUUCUCACCGUGCUUUGGUGUAGAUUACACACACUAAACCAAUCUUCAUCCCAUCUCAGUAAACUAU